Molecule: unclassified non-coding RNA, 377 nt
Filed under: uncultured Parachlamydiaceae bacterium
Lineage: Bacteria; Pseudomonadati; Chlamydiota; Chlamydiia; Parachlamydiales; Parachlamydiaceae
Description: contains 16S-23S intergenic spacer region
Source: RNAcentral
UCCUGGUUAACCCAGGCAGUCUCAUUAGAGUUCCCACCUUAAAUGUUGGCAACUAAUGAUAAGGGUUGCGCUCGUUGCGGGACUUAACCCAACACCUCACGGCACGAGCUGACGACAGCCAUGCAGCACCUGUGCAGCAGCCCCGAAGGGAAACGCCAUCUCUGGCGUCGUCUACUGCAUGUCAAGCCUGGGUAAGGUUCUUCGCGUUGCAUCGAAUUAAACCACAUGCUCCACUGCUUGUGCGGGUCCCCGUCAAUUCUUUUGAGUUUCACCCUUGCGAGCGUACUCCCCAGGCGGUAUACUUAUCGCGUUAGCUUCGGCACAACUAGGGUUGAAUCCAGUUACACCAAGUAUACAUCGUUUACGGCAAGGACUAC